Non-coding RNA from Cinara cedri, 465 nucleotides. Lineage: Eukaryota; Metazoa; Arthropoda; Insecta; Hemiptera; Aphididae. The record is from the annotation of a GenBank genome assembly.
UUUUUUUUUUUUUGGUUCGGAUAGUUGUUCUAAGAAAUAUUUUUACUUCUUGUGAUUUUACUUCCGGGAAUUUCGGGAGAAUACCGCACUGCGCGCCAUUGUACGAGAAACCGUAAGGGCCUUGUCACACUAUGGCAGAUUAACAACGCGGGAUUACCACGUUAAUGUCACAUUACAACGGCACGACCGCACGAUCUUUGACUUGCGUAUUAUUGUUGCUUUACAAAAUUAACAUUAGUGUCCAACGCUGCAUCAAAAUAUGUUGAGCUGGUCAAGAACGGAGAAGUCCAACGGGACACCGGAAUUUUCUCGUCGGGUCGUCUACUUUUUUUGACAAAAUAACUCGUGGUUGUGAUCUGGGUCACAAAGGUUAAAUUCCUCCCGUGUCUGGGCCCAGGUAUUUUCUCUCCGUCGUAUUAUUUUGUUUUCAUCGCGUCUAAUGUCUGUUUUCAUCCUGACGACUUU